GAAGAUCCCCCAGCAUCCUCAUCCUUUUUCGUGGCGGCAUCCCAUCCACCACUUCCAGUUGCAGGAGCUGAACCCCAAGCUGACUUCCCUGCACCAUCAUUACUGCCGCCAGCAUUGCUGCCCCAUCCACCAGUUUCAGUUGCAGGUGCAGCUGCAGCAGCUGAGCCCCAAGCUGACUUCCCUGCACCAUCGUUACUGCCGCCAGCAUUGGCACCCCACCCACCAGUUUCAGUUGCAGGUGCAGCUACAGCAGCUGAUCCCCAAGCUGACUUCCCCGGACCAUCAUUACUGCCGCCAGCAUUGGCACCCCAUCCACCAGUUUCAGUUACAGGUGCAGCUGCAGCAGCUGAGCCCCAAGCUGACUUCCCUUCACCAUCGUUACUACCGCCAGCAUUGCUGCCCCAUCCACCAGUUUCAGUUGCAGGUGCAGCAGCUGAACCCCAAGCUGGCUUCUUCUCACCAGCAGCAGCAGCAGCAGCCUUUCCCCAUCCUCCCUCAUCUGAAUUUUCAGUUUUAGCACCACUUGAACUCGCUCCCCACCCACCACCAGCUUCUUUCUUUUCACUAGCAGCAGCUGCACCCCAUGCAGAAUCUCC
RNAcentral lists this long non-coding RNA (596 nucleotides) under Lactuca sativa (garden lettuce). Its description in RNAcentral is "long non-coding RNA (LSAT_LNC001906)". Lineage: Eukaryota; Viridiplantae; Streptophyta; Magnoliopsida; Asterales; Asteraceae. The record is from RNAcentral.